This is a non-coding RNA of Rattus norvegicus (Norway rat), 8948 nucleotides long. Lineage: Eukaryota; Metazoa; Chordata; Mammalia; Rodentia; Muridae. The record is from RefSeq and is a predicted model, not a curated record.
GGGGACGGGUUUCUCCUGCUCCUUCGCCUAGGACUACAGUGAGUUUCUUCUAAAGCCUCUAGUUUUUAGGUGAGCUGUACCUCGUUGCCUUCUGCAACGUGUGGAUAAGAUGUGGGCCAUCGGUUACUGCUCCCGAGCCAUGCUGCCUGCUGUAGGGGGAAAGGACUAACCCUCUGAAACGGUAAGCAAGCUCCCAAUCAAAUGCCUUCUCUUCUAAGUUGCCUGGCUGUGGUGUCUCUUCACAGCAAAGGAACAGUAAGUGUGUGAACGUCUAUAAUCCCAGGAGGAUAAUAAACUCAAGGUCACCCUCCGCUUGAGGCCUGCCUAAGCUACAUGAGACCAUGUCUCAAAAGUAAAUAGCAUCAGUAAUGACGAAGGUAGAUGGCAUGUCUCGAUGUGAUGACAGAGCCAUGUGUAAAUCAAACCACGAGACUGCAGGACACAACUGGCUGCAGGACGUCAAUGGCAUGCUGGAUGCCUGUACUCCAGCACGUUAAGAGGUUGAAGCAGAAGGAUUUGUGAUUUUAAGGCAAACAUGAGCAACACAGCCACUUCCAGGACAGCCUGAGCUAGGCAGAAAACCUACAGAAAGCAAAAAGCAGGAGGGAAAUGGCUCACUGGGUCAAGUCAUGCUGUUCAAGAUUAAGGACUUAACUUGAGCUCAGAUACCCAACACCCAUGUAAAAGACUGACACUGAACACACAAAGGUAGCCCCAGAGCCAGGCAGGGGUCAGUAGAGACAAGAGGAGCCUGGGGCUCACUAGCCGGCUAGUCUAGCUGAAACAGAGACCUCAGGUUUAAUGGAGACUAUGAUGGUUUGAAUAUGCUUGGCCCAGGGAAUGGCACUAUUAGGUGUGGUCUUGAAGUAGGUAUGGCCUCAUAGGAGUAGGUGUGUCACUGUGGGCAGGGGCCUUAGGUCCUCUCAUCCUAGCAGUCUUUUAGCUGCUUUCAGAUCAAGAGGUGGUUCUCAGCUCCUCCAGCCUCGUGUCUGCCCAGAUGCUGCCAUGUUUCUGCCUUGAUGAUAAUGGAUUGAACUCUGAACCUGUAAGCCGGCCCCAGUUAAACCCCAGCAAACACAGAGACCCUGUCUCAAAACCUAAAGUGGGGAAAGAUAAAAGACAACAUGGACCUCCACAGGCGUGCACACCCAUGCAUGCACAUGUACAAGCACACAUGUGCAUGCACACCAGAGAGAGACAGACACCGAGACACAGAGAGAGACAGAGACACAGACAGAGACACAGAGAGAGAGACAGAGAGACAGAGAACAAGCACACGACAAACUCUGUCACGUAAAGCAAAGCAGCUAAGAAAGCGUUGAAGCCUGAAGAUGGUUCAAGGAACUCUCAACUAGAAGCAAUCUAUGAUUUUGCAUUGGAUGACAGACUGGAAAAGUAAAAACACUCUAGGGCCCAACAGUAGGUGAAACUGGAAGGUGGGCUCUACAUAAAUAUAGACUGCAUUUGUUUUCUGGUCUUAAGAAUCAAGUACCUCGAAAGAAACAUAUACUUAGGUACUUUCAAGGGUAAAGAGACCGGAGGUCCCUAACUUGCUCUCAAAUGGCUCAGUAAACAAACAUGGCAGAUCAGGGCAAUAGUCACAGUCUUGGGGAAGGGGGUGCCGUCAUACUAUUCUCCCAGCUAGUGCGGGCACAUGCUGGUGGUAUGGGCAUGUGCUUUGUAUACACUAUGUACUGGGUGUGAGAUUCCAUGGGCACAGGCAUGCCCAUGGGGGCCAAAGGACAACUUGGGUGUCAUUCCUCAGAUACCCUCCCCUCUGGUUUUGCUGAAACAGGUUUUUUCACUGACCUGGAGACCACCACGUAGAUUAGGCUGACUGGGCAGCAAGCCAGGAGCCAUGGUUGUUUUUUUUUUUUUUUUUUUUUUUGUUUUGUUUUUUUUUUUUUUUUUUUUUUUUUUAAUGUGGGUUCUAAGGAUCAAACUUAGGUCCUGAGUAUGUAAGGUAAUAUUUAACAGCUAAGUCAUUCCCCAACCCCUCAAAACUAAGUUUUAUAAAAGAUGUAUGUCUAAUGACAGUUAAUGCUGGUGAAAAUGUGGAGCAGGAGGAACACUCCUCCAUUGCUGGUAGAAACGCAAACUUUUACACUCACUGUGGAAAUCAGUAUGGCAGUUCCUCACAAAAAUAGGAAUUGAUCUACCUCAAUAUCCAGCUAUACCACUCUUGGACAUAUACCCAAAGGAUGCUUCAUCCUACCACAGAGACUUUUCUCAUCCAUAUUCAUUGCUGCUCUGUUCAUAAUAGCCAGAAAUUAGAAAUGACCUAGGUGUCUCUCAAUGGAAGAAUAGAUAAAGAAAUGUGGUACAUUUGCACAAUGGAACAUUACUUGGUUGUUUAAUAAAAAUGAUAUCAUCAAACUUCCAGGCAAAUGAAUGGAACUAGAAAAAAAUCAUCCUGAGUAAGGUAACCCAGACUCAGAAAGAUAAAUAUGGUAUAUAUCCACUUAUAUAUGAAUAUUAGCUAUGAAAUAAAUUAUAACCAAGCUACAAUCCAUAGACCGGGAGAAGACAGGCAUAAAGAAGGGGACUGGGGUGAGUGGGGGGAUGACAAAUAGAACUCCCUGGAAGAUAAAAACACUUAUGGGUAGAAUGCAUGCAGGGAAGGAGGAGAAUGAGACUGGGAGGAUCAAGGGGAGGAGUUGGAACUGAGGGAGGGACUGGCGGGGAGACUAGGAUUGAAGGGCACGGGGUGGGGGCAGGAUGAAAUGACUCCUAAUGAUAUUCUGCUAUACUUAUAGUCCAUCAAAGAGGCUUCCUCCUACAGCAGAUGGGAACAAAUACAGAGACUCAUAGCUGGACACUAUACACAGGGAGAGACCUUGGAACGCAGUUUUAAACGAGAUAAAAUUCCUCCCUUUCAGAGAUCAGGGAGCCCCACAGAAGAGGCAGGAGUGGGAGAGACAGGAAUGGAGGACACCAGAACAAGCUUCUCUAAAACAACCGAGCAGAGCUCAUAUGAACUCAUAGAGACUGAAGGCAUAGGCCUACACAGGUCUGCAUCAAGUGCCUGUAAAGUCACUAUAGCUUUCAGUGUGGCACUUCCACAGGACUCCUGAAUGUGUGAACAAGCGGGUCUCUGAUUCUUGUGCCUGCUCUUGUGACUUUUAUUUUUCCGUUGGUUUGUCUUGUCCAACUUCUAUAUGAUGGUUUUUGUUUUCUUGUUAUAUUUUGUUAGAAAAAAGAAAUAUAUUUAACCAGAAAAAGAGAUGUGCCUGCGGUCCUGAACUGAGGCAAAGCACCAAGUGAGAUUACAGCUAUUAUUCAAUGGCAGGAGAGACCACUCAAAAGAAAUGCAAAAGGCCCUGGAGGCAAGGCUCAGUGGACACCACAUCACACAGGAACCUUUGCAUUUCAACCCAGAACCAAAGAGGAACAAAAGAGAAAUGUAGGUGGAGGGGAGAGGAAGGGAAGGAGGAAAUAGGCGAUUCCAUUUAUAUUUAGAAUCAGAGAGCAAGUAAGAUCUGAAGUCAUACCCGCUGCUUUAACAGACCCAAGAGUUCUGCUCAGAACAGAUUAGAGAGGGGAGAGAGCAAGGGGGGUACAGAUCCAAAAGUGAGAAGUGGGGGCAUGAAAGCACAGGAAGGGAACAACUGACUUGUUACAUUGUAAUUGGUCAGCACUCAGGGGUCGGGCAGAUGGCUCAAAGCUAAGGACGUCUGUCCCAGAAAUGAAGCAAUGCUUCUGGUUCCCACUCAGUCCCAGAGUGAAGCCAAUGACUCCUAAGGCCAAGCUGUCCAGUUUUCAGAGGGCAUUCACCCUGACCCAAUUUGACUUCCACAUCUAAGCUUGACCCAGACUGCUACCGGUUUUCAAUUCUCACUUCAUUUGUAACUCUUGGCUGAGAUCCCUGAGUCCUAGGCAGAGGGCUUCUAUCUGACCUCAGAGUCAACCAGUCAAAUUUAGAACCAGGGAACUGAGGAAUUACACGCGCACACACACACACACGCACACGAAGGGAAAGUCAGAAUCCAGAAUCUAACCCAUAAACCAAACACAGCCGUUUUUUACCCCAUUUGAGACCUUUUAUUAAUGAAAUCGAGCUCACAGAGAGCAGGCAGUAACAGCAGAGAGCCGGGACAAACGUGAAUACAAAGCGACCUGCAGGACAAGCACUGGCCAGAGCCUUGCUUUCAAGGGAGCCAGGUAGCCCUAGGUAAAACAGCUUCACCAAACCAAAAAGACCAACGGAUUCUCCCAGUUCAGAGAGCAAAUACGACAAAGGCUCUCUGACACAAACACACCCCAAACUCUGCAUCGGCCCGUUAUUUGGGCAGAGAAAGUAAGAGCAUUGCAUCUGAGAUAGGGGAAACCUGGACUUGAUGUUUUCAUCACCCUUCACCACGGCAGAAAUGCUGGAGACUUCUGCUAGGGCCACGGAUUCCAGAUCUUUGCACCAUAGUGUGAGGAACUGAAAAUGACCAAAGUGUCAAACACCACCACCAGACAAAAGCUUCCUUCUUGGGCCCACACAGAGAACAUCAACACACCCAAAUCAACAUAUCCGACAUACUGCUGGAUAGGAAAAGCCAAGUGGAUGAAAACCAUAAAGAGGUGGGGUGUGGGGGGGAGGCACAGAAAUCUUUUCAAAUAGAGUUUGGUUAGGUAUGAAGACACUGGAAAUUUUUUUAUUUUUAUUUAACUUGUAGGGGGUAGGGUAGAGAGCUGAAUCAGUGGUUAAGAACACUGACUGUUAUUCCGGAGGACCAGGUUUGAUGCAUCUACAUGGUAGCUCAUAAAAGUCUUUUAAUUCCAAUUACAGCAAAUCCAAUUAAUGCCCUAUUCUAGUCCACCGCCUUGGGUACUGCGUGCACACGGUGCAAACAUACAUGCAGGCAAACACCCAUGCACAUUAAGGAAGAACUGUGUGGCCUGUGCAUGGAUAGGGCGUUCAGGUGGGCUCACUGGAGGUUGAGGAGGUAACUGCAGCCGGCUCUUCCCUCCUCCACGGGUUCCGAGAUUGGGGUCAGGUUGUCAGAUCUGUACAACACACACUUAGCUGCUGAGCCAUCUCGUCAGCCUGAAACUAGAGAUUUUUAUAGUAAAAAAACACACAAUUGAUGUUUAUUUUUGGUUUUGUCCCUAUAGAAUGUUGAUUCUUAAGACAGUUUCUAAUUUCCAAUGACAAACACUAACUUAGUGGUAGGGUUUUUGUUUUUUUUUUUUUAAGAUUUAUUCAUUUAUUAUAUAUAAGUACACUGUAGCUGUCUUCAGACACACCAGAAGAGGGCAUCAGAUCCCAUUACAGAUGGCUGUGAGCCACCAUGUGGUUGCUGGGAUUUGAACUCAGGACCUCUGGAAGAGCAGUCGGUGCUCUUAACCACUGAGCCAUCUCUCCAGCCCGGUAGGGUUUUUUUGUUUGUUUGUUUGUUUGUUUUGUUUUGUUUUUUAAUUAAAUCCUAUUUUCACUGACUAAACUAUCAGUAUUUAAUAUAGCUAAAACAAGGUAUGAGGUAAUUUCCCCCUAAAUGGGGUGGGAGGAGAAACAAGACUUGGUUACAGAAAUUCAUUUUAGGAAAAGUUCAAAAGAGUCAAAAUAUAAUCAGUAACUCAAGAUCUUUAAAUGUGGGAAGGCAUAGAAGGAAAAUCUAGAUAAAUCUCAGCACGGUGAUUCGGGAAAAGCUCAAAGCCUACUUGAGAUGAAUUCAGACAUUACGACCUGGAGAAUACCCUUGGACAUGUGCUCUAAUCCAAGGGCAUGCUGAUGGCUGAAAGGACUCUCAGGUGGGAGGAACCACAGCAGUCCCUCAGGGCCACCGCCUCACUCACACUCAGCAACAUCAACACUCUCCCCUCGCUGUGGAUCCUAAAAUGGCAUCUCUCUACCUUUCGGCUCUAUGUAACUUGCAAGCCAAGCAUGGUGGUGCACACCUGUAAUCCCAGCACUUGGAAGGCAAUGUUAGAAAACUACUGUGAGUUCGAGGCCAGACUAAUUUACACCCAAAGUUCCAGGCCAGCCAGGGCCACAUAAUGAAACCCUCUCAAAAAUGAGUAAGAUUACUGAGCUGUGAGGUGACACAAACUUGACAUCAACACCUAUCUGUAAAAAACAAAAAACAAAAACAACAAAACCACAUAGCUUACCAUCCUCAAAAGGAGUUUAAAAUUUUCAAAAUAAAAUAUUCAUGGGGCUAAAUGUGUGGCUUGGCUGAUGAAGUGUUUGCUUAGCACGCAUGAAGUCCUGGGUUUGAUGUUAGGCAUGGUAAUACAUGCCUAUAAUCCCAGCAUUCAGAAGGUGAAGGGUCCAACGUUCAAAGUCACCCUAGAAUACACAGUGGGUUCAAGGCCAGUCUGGAAUAGAUGAGACCCUGCCUCAAAACAAGAAGAUUUAAGCGUCUAGAUAAAGGAGACUAGAAAUGGGUCUGGAAGCUUAGACCCCCUCACCUAAACGAUUCAAAUUCAUGAAGCUACCCAGCAACAAUGUUACCAGAAAGCCCCUGAGUUACAAGAACUCAUUCACUCAAAGCUGAGAGAAAAGAUUGGCCUUCACAAGUUACAACUAUGCAGUAACAUGGCUACCACAUAGGUCAAGGGUUCUUGCUAUGGUCAGUUCAGUGAAAGCACAGAACCCUCCUUGUCUUCUGAGAAAAUCCUACACACCUAGUUAGCACAACGCAAGCAUGAUGAAGAGCGAUACAUGACCAUCAUGCUGUUCGGUUCUGAAAUUUUAUAAACUAUGAGAAUUCCAAAGUAUGACGUCAUCACUCACAGAAGUGACGGAACAGAAAAACAACCUGUGGUUCAUGGACAAUGAUCACAUGCUAUUGUUUAGCUUAGCUGGAAGCAGUUCCUUUCACCCUCCCUGCUGACAACAGUGAGAUUUGGGUCACACACACACUGGCAAGCUAAUCUGACCGGACUUGUCUGUCAGGCUUACAGCCCACAGCCUGAUUUGUAAACUAAGCAAACCAUGGACUAGGGGAAAACCACCCAAAAAGCUCCUCACACUAACACUCACGGCCUUAACCUUUAAAGUUUCCCUGAGGAGACCCACAGUCACAGCAAAAGAAAGCUGCUUCUGUCCUCACUUCACAUCCUGGAGGACAAUUCUAGAACCAUGGAUAGUCUUUUUAAAACCAGUGAACUGGGAGUCUUCAAUUCCUCAUUUACAUGAAACACUGAAUGUGUCUAGUCCUUCACCUGGAAACAACAGGAUGAAAAUUGCCUAAAGACAGAGGAGCCCAACAUCACCAAGCUGAGAAAGAGGCAAUAAAAGAACUCAGCACUUCACAUCCAAAAUACAGUCAUGCCCUGAAUUUUCAGGGCAUAAAAACCCUGUUCUAUGUUUUUUUCUAAUCUAUAAACAAUUUCUGGCCACAAAAUAAUGUCUCCUGUUUCCAGACAGCAGUUUCUGCACUUGCCUGAGGCCCUUCCAGCCAACAUCUGAGUCCUUGAUUCGCAAACAAGAAAACAUAAAGUAAGAGGUGAAUUAGAACCCUCACAUCCUAUAUCUCACUGAAACACUAAGAGUAAAAGCUCCACCUGGGCAGGGCCCAGGUCUAGGCCACCUGAGGGGCAUAAUAAAAUACAGAUACAUCAUCUCCCAACUCAAGAAUUUCUGAGGGUGAACUUCUAAACGUUCUACACCAAACAAGCUCCCACAUCAAUUUAGCCUGAAGAACAGAUCCUGAAUCCCUAUCUAUCCGCAGUAGUCUGUUCCUCUGCAUACCAAAGGCCAUGCCAAGCACGUUCAAGCUGCACCAUCACCCUAACCUCAGUCAGUCACAUUGAGGCUUUAUAUGGCCAAAACAGGUCAGUGGAUGCAGUCUCCACUUCACCCCCUACCUACUAACUUCUCAGCUAACAGCACCCAUCAUGCAUCACUUCAGGGUGUCUUCUUAAUGAUGAAUGCAGAUGGUGCCAAAUUCCCCCCCAAACUGGUAAUGAUCCUGGAUGGAAUCCUCCAGGGGCAGCGCUGAAUAUAAACUUCACGAAAAUCACUAAGUUUCACUUCCAGAACAGCCAUUACUGUAGGUACUCUCAAGAUCAGAUGAAAUAACCUUUCAUUUAACAUUUCAAUAUACAAAAACACGAGUGGAUCACAUUUUAAACUCAUUUUUAAAGGUGUAGGACUUUACAGAAAAGAGGCAACAACUUUACUGUCCAAUUUAAGAGUGUACUGACUGACUCUGUAAAUGCAUUUUCACCACAAUGAAACAAUUACCUCCAAUUAAAUCAUCAGCCAAGCACUGUCCAGCUGCAUUCCUAACAGCUAGGUCAGGCUUUCUGCUUCUGUGAGGGAAACCUUCUCAAGGUACCAGGAAUUUAAAACAGUGGAAGACUGAAAACUGUACUGUGAACUUUUUUAAAAAAGAAAGAAUUCAACAUAAGCAAUUUUAAGCCAGGCAUGAGAGCACACAAUUCCACUCUUCAAGAGGACGACGACAAAUUUGAGCCCAAACAGGACAAUAGUAAAAGCCCUGUCUCAAAAAACAAAAGGAGGGAGAACGAGGACGAGGAGGCAGGGAGGGAGGGAAGGAGGGAGGGAGGAGGACUGAGGAAGGAAAGAACCAAUUGGUUAGUUUGGGAAGUGAGGGAUUAAAAGAUUAGUCCUAGUUGAGAAAGUAGGGAUCACUUCUCAGCCCACUGCGAGCUCGGCUGAGGCUGAGGAUGGAUGCGUAGCUAUCUUAUCUCUAGGAUUAAAAGCUUAUACCCGAGGCAAGACACAUUUCAGAAGACAGGACACUCUUGAAAUACAGAAUUUUAUUUAAAAACUGUUUAAAGUAGAAAAAAACCCUGUCAAGAAAGACCAGGUGGAAAAUGGGUUCCCAAUAAAAUGGAAUUGGGGUCAACAGAAGUCUGAAAGGCCACAGAGGAGGAAACAGCACCGCUGUCGUUGAACAAUGGCUAGUUAACUUACUUUUUUUUUUUUUUUUUUUGGCAUUGUUAAUCACUGAAUCUGGAUUUUCCUCUGAAUUCCACAGAGCAUGCAC